RNAcentral lists this ribosomal RNA (253 nucleotides) under uncultured bacterium. Its description in RNAcentral is "partial 16S ribosomal RNA". It matches the Rfam family "Bacterial small subunit ribosomal RNA", at positions 524 to 776 of the family's 1533-position model. The record is from RNAcentral.
UACGGAGGGGGCUAGCGUUGUUCGGAAUUACUGGGCGUAAAGCGCACGUAGGCGGAUCAGUCAGUUAGAGGUGAAAGCCCAGGGCUCAACCCUGGAACUGCCUUUAAUACUGCUGGUCUGGAGUCCGAGAGAGGUGAGUGGAAUUCCGAGUGUAGAGGUGAAAUUCGUAGAUAUUCGGAGGAACACCAGUGGCGAAGGCGGCUCACUGGCUCGGUACUGACGCUGAGACGCGAAAGCGUGGGGAGCAAACAGG